AUUGAGACUUGUAUGAAAGGCUAAACGAGGUCUUAACUGUCUCCUGUAGGUAAUCUAUGAAAUUAGUAUUCCCGUGCAAAAACGAGAAUGUGAACAUAAGACGAGAAGACCCUGUGGAACUUUAAAAUCACGACCACCUUACAACCUUACACAGCCCCACUGGGUCCACCCACACAUAAACCCCUGGUCGACAUUUUUCGGUUGGGGCGACCUUGGAGAAAAAAAAAUCCUCCAAACCCACAGACCACAACUCUUCACUAAGACCAACUCCUCAAAGUACCAACAGUAACCAGACCCAAUAUAAUUGAGCAAUGGACCAAGCUACCCCAGGGAUAACAGCGCAAUCUCCUCCAAGAGCCCAUAUCGACAAGGAGGUUUACGACCUCGAUGUUGGAUCAGGACAACCUAAUGGUGCAACCGCUAUUAAGGGUUCGUUUGUUCAACGAUUAACAGUCCUACGUGAUCUGAGU
Molecule: ribosomal RNA, 470 nt
Filed under: Gallus gallus (chicken)
Lineage: Eukaryota; Metazoa; Chordata; Aves; Galliformes; Phasianidae
Description: partial large subunit ribosomal RNA
Rfam family: Bacterial large subunit ribosomal RNA
Source: RNAcentral